CAGACAUCAACAAAGGACGGUCCUAUAAAAUGAUCAAUUACAUGUGUGGAGAUACAGUGGCUUCUGCGUGAUUCAGGGCUACAAGAGAAAACCUGAGAUGUCAUGCAAUAAAACCCCUAGGGACCAGAAGAAAUGUUCUGCAGAAUUCCAAUACAUUCCUGACUUGUGCCUUGUAGGUUGUGGAAAGGCAUUAAGAAGAUAGA
Molecule: non-coding RNA, 203 nt
Organism: Chiloscyllium plagiosum (whitespotted bambooshark)
Lineage: Eukaryota; Metazoa; Chordata; Chondrichthyes; Orectolobiformes; Hemiscylliidae
Source: RefSeq, a predicted model, not a curated record